CUUCUUUGAAACCAAAGUGAAAGUAAGCAGUUCAAAUCAACAACUUGAUAUUUUUUGGAUUCAGAUCUAGUACAGGUGUGCAGUUAUGUUGCAAGAAGGGUGCACGAUUUAUCUACUAGCAUGUCUAUGCAUAUAGCUGUUUGACUUACUUCAUAACAUGGGCACGUAAAACAGACCGUGCGUUGACAGUGGUCAUGAUGAGCAUGAUGUAGCACACGUUUGAAUCCGAUAGGCCACACGCCACACCACAACCAGUGUUAGGACUACAGCCCCAGAAAUAGAGAUGGGGGUGGAUUGUGAAUGUCAUUAUUGAUCCAUCAGCGCAGACGUCCGUAUCUACAUGUAGAUGUCGAUGGUUGAGAUAAGUGGAACCCUAUAGCGAUAGGACUAGUUGACAAGAAGUGUUCUUGUGAACGUUUGGCAACAUAGAUAAUAUAAGCAUUACAGUUUAAUUGUGUUUGAAAACUGAACAUUAUUAUUAAGAUCAUUUAGCUGUCUAUUAAUCAUACUAGUAAUUGUCAAGAAUUUUUGGGCUUUGGAUUUAAGCAGCUAGUUUUUGAUCGAGAGAGAGAGAGUGUUUGAGUGAGGGUGAAAGUGAGUGAGAAUUGUAAAUAUUUUCUAUUAAUUUAUUUUCUUGUUAAUAAAUUCAAUAUUUGAAACUGUCUUGAGUGUUAUUUGGACAUCGCCUGGCUCAACCACGUUACAUGCAGAA
Long non-coding RNA from Magallana angulata, 712 nucleotides. RefSeq lists it as uncharacterized. The record is from RefSeq and is a predicted model, not a curated record. The transcript has 3 exons. NCBI's taxonomy places the organism in Eukaryota, Metazoa, Mollusca, Bivalvia, Ostreida, Ostreidae.